UGCUUGGACAAAACCAUGAGCGCGCCAUCAUGCUGUCUGUGAUGCUCGUAUACCAGUACUACUGUAUGUUAUCCACUUAUCCUCCCCCGUGAGAAUUUUACGUAUUUGUUUGUACUUUUUAGCGCUGCACAAUCUGGUUUUUGUGGGAGCAGUGUUGCUCAAUCAUCAGGCCAGUCAGUAAAAAACUUCGAUUGUUUUUUACCUACUACUGGCACGUUGGUGUCCUU
This 227-nucleotide long non-coding RNA is filed under the name Hordeum vulgare. RNAcentral's name for it is "long non-coding RNA (HVUL_LNC014249)". Lineage: Eukaryota; Viridiplantae; Streptophyta; Magnoliopsida; Poales; Poaceae. The record is from RNAcentral.